UUUAUGCACCAUUGGAUGAGCCUGCACUUGAUUAGUUUGUUGGUGGGGUAAUGGCCUACCAAGACUGUGAUCAAUAGCUGAUUUGAGAGGAUGAUCAGCCACAUUGGGACUGAGACACGGCCCAAACUCCUACGGGAGGCAGCAGUGGGGAAUCUUGCACAAUGGAGGAAACUCUGAUGCAGCGAUGCCGCGUGAGUGAAGAAGGCCUUUGGGUUGUAAAGCUCUUUCGUCGGGGAAGAAAAUGACUGUACCCGAAUAAGAAGGUCCGGCUAACUUCGUGCCAGCAGCCGCGGUAAUACGAAGGGACCUAGCGUAGUUCGGAAUUACUGGGCUUAAAGAGUUCGUAGGUGGUUGAAAAAGUUGGUGGUGAAAUCCCAGAGCUUAACUCUGGAACUGCCAUCAAAACUUUUCAGCUAGAGUAUGAUAGAGGAAAGCAGAAUUUCUAGUGUAGAGGUGAAAUUCGUAGAUAUUAGAAAGAAUACCAAUUGCGAAGGCAGCUUUCUGGAUCAUUACUGACACUGAGGAACGAAAGCAUGGGUAGCGAAGAGGAUUAGAUACCCUCGUAGUCCAUGCCGUAAACGAUGUGUGUUAGACGUUGGAAAUUUAUUUUCAGUGUCGCAGCGAAAGCGAUAAACACACCGCCUGGGGAGUACGACCGCAAGGUUAAAACUCAAAUGAAUUGACGGGGACCCGCACAAGUAGUGGAGCAUGUGGUUUAAUUCGAAGAUACGCGCAGAACCUUACCAACACUUGACAUGUUCGUCGCGACUCUAAGAGAUUAGAGUUUUCGGUUCGGCCGGACGAAACACAGGUGCUGCAUGGCUGUCGUCAGCUCGUGUCGUGAGAUGUUGGGUUAAGUCCCGCAACGAGCGCAACCCUCACUUUUAGUUGCCAUCAUUAAGUUGGGCACUCUGAAAGAACUGCCAGUGAUAAGCUGGAGGAAGGUGGGGAUGACGUCAAGUCCUCAUGGCCCUUACGUGUUGGGCUACACACGUGCUACAAUGGUAUCUACAACAGGAAGCAAGACUGCGAGGUCAAGCAAAUCCUUAAAAGAUACCUCAGUUCGGAUUGCACUCUGCAACUCGAGUGCAUGAAGCUGGAAUUACUAGUAAUCGUGGAUCAGCGUGCCACGGUGAAUGCGUUCCCGGGUCUUGUACACACCGCCCGUCACACCAUGGGAGUUGGUUCUACCUUAAGGCAAGGUUUAAAACCCUUGACCACGGUAUAGUCAGCGACUGGGGUGAAGUCGUAACAAGGUAGC
This 1261-nucleotide ribosomal RNA is filed under the name uncultured marine bacterium. Its description in RNAcentral is "bacterial SSU rRNA". It matches the Rfam family "Bacterial small subunit ribosomal RNA", at positions 210 to 1500 of the family's 1533-position model. The record is from RNAcentral.